GACGAACGCUGGCGGCGUGCUUAACACAUGCAAGUCGAACGAUGAAGCCUAGCUUGCUAGGUGGAUUAGUGGCGAACGGGUGAGUAAUACGUGAGUAACCUACCUUUAACUCUGGGAUAAGCCUGGGAAACUGGGUCUAAUACCGGAUACGACCAAUCUCCGCAUGGGGUGUUGGUGGAAAGCGUUAUGUAGUGGUUAUAGAUGGGCUCACGGCCUAUCAGCUUGUUGGUGAGGUAACGGCUCACCAAGGCGACGACGGGUAGCCGGCCUGAGAGGGUGACCGGCCACACUGGGACUGAGACACGGCCCAGACUCCUACGGGAGGCAGCAGUGGGGAAUAUUGCACAAUGGGCGCAAGCCUGAUGCAGCGACGCCGCGUGAGGGAUGACGGCCUUCGGGUUGUAAACCUCUGUUAGCAGGGAAGAAGAGAAAUUGACGGUGCCUGCAGAGAAAGCGCCGGCUAACUACGUG
Molecule: ribosomal RNA, 471 nt
Filed under: uncultured bacterium
Lineage: Bacteria
Description: partial 16S ribosomal RNA
Rfam family: Bacterial small subunit ribosomal RNA
Source: RNAcentral